UACAGAGGCGGCAAGCGUUGUUCGGAAUUAUUGGGCGUAAAGAGCACGUAGGCGGCUGUGUAAGUCGGUUGUGAAAGCCUUCCGCUUAACGGAAGAACGGCAUCCGAUACUGCAUAGCUCGAGUGCGGGAGGGGAGAGUGGAACUUCUGGUGGAGCGGUGAAAUGCGUAGAUAUCGGGAGGAACACCAGUGGCGAAGGCGGCAUCCUGGCCAUGUCCUGACGCUCAGGGGCGAAAGCGUGGGGAGCAAAC
This 250-nucleotide ribosomal RNA is filed under the name uncultured bacterium. Its description in RNAcentral is "partial 16S ribosomal RNA". It matches the Rfam family "Bacterial small subunit ribosomal RNA", at positions 524 to 773 of the family's 1533-position model. The record is from RNAcentral.